RNAcentral lists this transfer RNA (62 nucleotides) under Nothoaspis amazoniensis. RNAcentral describes it as "tRNA-Tyr". Lineage: Eukaryota; Metazoa; Arthropoda; Arachnida; Ixodida; Argasidae. The record is from RNAcentral.
GGUAAAAUGGCCGAAAUAAGGUGAUAAAUUGUAAAUUUAUUAAUGAUUAAGUUCUUUUACUA